Long non-coding RNA from Lycium ferocissimum, 3754 nucleotides. RefSeq lists it as uncharacterized. NCBI's taxonomy places the organism in Eukaryota, Viridiplantae, Streptophyta, Magnoliopsida, Solanales, Solanaceae. The record is from RefSeq and is a predicted model, not a curated record. The transcript is spliced from 2 exons.
GGUUCGUUUCUAUAAAUAGGUAUCACUACCGCUAGACUUGUAAAACCCUAAUCAGUGGCGGCUCUCUCCCUUAAAACCCUAAUUUGCCGCAUCCACAUUUGUAACAGAUGUUACAGCUCUGACACGGUGCCUCUAAUGGCAGGCGUUACGUGUAGAGAGCACAACUCCUUUUUCCCUUUCAUACUUGUACCACUACAUUUGAAGAUUUCCCUCUGUGUGGAUCCAAUAUUUAGAAAUGAAUCCUCUAAUACUAAAUCCAACUUAGAGGUUAUUUGGAGGAUGUAUAGCUGUUUUGUUGGUCAGUCCCACAAACAAUAUUCCAUAGCUAUUUUGGAAUAUUGUCUUUGGUACUGCCCAAGAAAAUAGCUAUGCAUGCCCAUCCACAAGACCUCUCACUAUUUUCAUACGCUUUAUUUUUUCCUUUGAUGCAUCCAGAUUGUGCUUUACUAUGUGUGUGUAACAUGGCUUGUGGCCUUGAUAGUAUUUGAUGUUUGUCAGUACUGAUAAGCUAGCAUUGAUUGUUUUAUUCCUCUUCCCAUUGUUAUAUAUGUAAAGAGGUCUUUAAUCGAUGCUUAUAUGAAAGUUUGGAGAAUGGUUGGCCCCUGGAAUUUGUUUAUGUCUUUGGGGUUUUCAAUAUUUCUCCUAUAAAUAAUACGUCACUACUCUCUAGUUUAUAUCCAGUUCUACAAUUGUGUUAUUAUUAUUUUUGAUUUGGCAAAAUAAUUAUUUUCAUUAACAUGCUUACAUAAAUGCCCCUAAUGUUUAUCAUCUAUUAAGUGGUUUGAGUAAAAGGUACAGACUCUGGAGUAUAUUUGGUAAAAAUUGCUACUAUUUGUGAACAUGUUUUUAUGGAUUAGAUUCUUAACAGAAAAAUAUUGAUUGAUUUUGAUUGAUUUUGUCUAUGGAUAUGAUGAUUAUUUCCCCAGAUGAUCGAAGCUGAAAUUACUGAGCGCUUUUUCUGUAUUUUCUCCUUCGGGGGGGAAAUCCAAGCCAGAUAUUCUGAUCCAUGUACUGUAAACUUUAAAUGCUUUUUUACUUAAAUUUUGUAAAAAUUCUGAUUGUUUGUGAACUCUUUUUUUUAUGGAUUAGAGUCUUAAUAUAAAAAUAUUGAUUGAUUUUUGAUUGAAUUUGUGUAUGGAUAUGAUGAUUAUUUCCCCAGAUGAUCGAAGCUGAAAUUACUGAGCGCUUUUCUGUAUUUUUUCCUUCGGGGGAAAAUCCAAGCCAGAUAUUCUGAUCCAUAUACUCUAAAUGCUUUUUGCUUAAAUUUUGUAAAAAUUGCGAUCAUUUGUGAACAUUUUUUUUUGGAUUAGAUCUUAACAUAAAAAUAUUAAUUGAUUUUUGAUUGAAUUUGUGUAUGGAUAUGAUGAUUAUUUCCCCAGAUGAUCGAAGCUGAAAUUACUGAGCGCUUUUCUGUAUUUUCUCCUUCGGGGGAAAAUCCAAGCCAGAUAUUCUGAUCCAUAUACUCUAAAUGCUUUUUGCUUAAAUUUUGUAAAAAUUGCGAUUAUUUGUGAACAUUUUUUUUAUGGAUUAGAUCUUAACAUAAAAAUAUUAAUUGAUUUUUGAUUGAAUUUGUGUAUGGAUGUGAUGAUUAUUUCCCCAGAUGAUCGAAGCUGAAAUUACUGAGCGCUUUUCUGUAUUUUCUCCUUCGGGGGAAAAUCCAAGCCAGAUAUUCUGAUCCAUCUUAAUUCAUUGAAGUUAUUCUUAAAUUCUUAAAGUUACUAUAGAUUCAAUUUUCCUUUUGGUAACAAUAAUUUAUGAUUGUGAUUGAACUUUUAUAUGGAUGUGAUGACUAUUUCCCCAGAUGAUCGAAGCUGAAAUAACUGAGCGCUCUUUAUGUAUUUUCUUCCUUCGGGUAGAAAAUCCAAGCCAGAUAUUCUGAUCCAUAUCUUUUACUUUUGUUUUCUUUCUAAAGGUUGCCUGUCAGAAAUAAUUAAUUUAGUUAAUUUGAUGAAACAUGUAAAAGUGGCUGAAUUGGAAAGCUGAAAAAAGGGCAAGGGUAAUGAGGCUUAGAUUCCAUAGAGUUCAACCUGCAUUGGGCUUUAGUUAAGCCUAUAUCCAUGGAAUUAAUUUUUUUGAUAUUUUUCCAAUUGUAGAAUGACGUUGGAGAGGUAUAGAUUGUUGAGUAUGUCUGCUUAACAAUGCUACUCGUCAUUAUAAGUAAGCGUUGAUUGUUUUAUUCCUCUUCACAUUACUAUGUGUGUAAAGAGGUCUUAAUCAGUGCUUAUAUGAAAAUUUGGAGAAUGGUUGGCCCCUGGAAUUUGUUCAUGUCCUUGGGGUUUUCAAUAUUUCUUCUACAAAUUAUACUCUCUAACUUUGUAUCCAGUUCUGUAAUUGCCCUAUUAUCACUUGUGUUUUAUGUCCGCAAAAAUCCUUUUAUGUGCUUACAUAAAUGCCCAUAGAGUUGGCACUGAACCAUCUCCAUAAUUGUCUUUCAUCCGUAAGUUUAAGUUUUUCCAGUCAAUGCUAAUAUGAAACAGUGGCAGUGAGUAUUAAUUAUUUGCUCCUCUGUAGUUUAGAGGUUGCUACUGCACAUAUUUUGUACUAAUCAGGUUUUGAGAUGCUUGUCCUCUAUUCACUUGUUCGGCAUUCAUGGCCAAGUAAUAGACUGUUGAGUAUGUUUGACACCUCUAUGUUGUAGAAUGACAUUGAUUGUAGAAACUUCUUACCAUUCUAUAUCAAGAUGUUUUUAGCCUGUCAUGUACCUUGAAGAAGAGUUUUUGUGCUAAAGGAGUUUGUGUGGGAGCAAAUAAAUAUCUAAAAUCAGAGUGGAUUAGUUCUAGCAUUGCUUAAUUCUCUCCCUCAUGUACAAAUGGGUGGAAGAGGCUACUCAUCGAUGCUUACAUUAAACUAAGUUUGUCAGGCUCCUUUGAACUCUUUUAUGAUACUGGAGUUUGGAAAAUGCUUGUACAUGUAUCAUUAUGAUAGGAACUCCACAUAAUUUUUUAUCUCCUGUUUUCUAUAGGUAACUUUGAAAUUUAAAUUCGUAGCAAAGUCUAUCCUGCUGAAGCUGUUCUUGGGGAUCUUGGGGAAAUCUUAUAUAAGAGGAGCUAGAAUAUUGUGAACCGUAUACUACUUUGUUAAAGACUGGGAUAUGUGUUGUAUAAUAACAGUGAAAAGAAGUUUCUUCUUCUUUGGUCUAAUGACUUCCGGCUAUAAUGGAUCUCUUUCUUUUCAACUUAUAAUGACCUGCCAAAUUGUAUCCACCAGCUUACUGCAAUUGACAAUUAAUCACAUAAUAUGAUUAUGGACCGUAAUGCUGCUAAACAAAAAAUGUACGUUUGCUAGUUAGUCCAGUCAAGUGAGCUACUAAUAGUGCAUUGCAUUCUAUCUAUGGGUAUCAAGUCUCUUUAGAUAUGCAUGUAUCUUAACCAGUCGACUCGUGUGUUUUUUGACUGUUUGCUCACUGAUAUCUUAUGAACUGUUCAUGAUGUUGCUGGCUGUCCAUGUCUCAGCUUCACUAAGUAUCAAGAAAAUUCACCAGCUAGUGGAGAUCAGUUUUUAGGCAUAGCUCUGCCAGAAAGUUGCAUCUGAGACUUGAAAUGUAUAAUGAUUUGUUGUAUAUCUUAGAAUAUGAGAUUCCUUUUUUCAAAAAAUAAAUGAAUUUGGAUUUCCUAUGAGGCACCAAUUCACCCUGAGAAAGGUGUUGUGUCAUUAUAAAAGACUUCCGCUAUGUAGCUCAGGACAUUUGUUGUUUCUGUAAUCAGCCUUAAUAAACAUUUAUCUCAAUGUAUGGUAACUUUCGUAUACUCUUCUA